Molecule: long non-coding RNA, 1022 nt
Filed under: Ricinus communis (castor bean)
Lineage: Eukaryota; Viridiplantae; Streptophyta; Magnoliopsida; Malpighiales; Euphorbiaceae
Description: long non-coding RNA (RCOM_LNC001595)
Source: RNAcentral
UGAACUUUUAUGUAUAAAUUUUGUCUGAAAUUAAAUUACAUUAGGUUGAACGAAAUGGGUUUGUCGUUAAGUCAUUAACAAACUCAGUUAGAAUCGUAUGGUUUUGACUAUGUUCAUCUCGAUUUUAAUGCACUAAAAGAAGCUAAUUAGUGAGUAUAUAUUAGUGAUAACAAGUGAUAUCAAAUGGUGAGGUGUGGCCGGCGUUAUGUGGCUAUAGUGAUAUAAUGAUAAAUUAAAAGUUAAAAUUGUUAUCAAAAUAAAAGAAAAGAAUUCAAUUGAAAAAAAUUAUUGUUCUUUUUGUUGAGAAUUUGGGAUUGAAAUGAAUUUAUUGAGGCGGUGUUAACAAACAAGUUUAAUGGCAAUAGCAAUGAGGUAUGGGUUUGGUUAUGUUAAGAAAUGGUUGUAGAACUAUAGAACUUGGGCUUGUUUUAAUCUACUAUUUUAAUCUUUAUUUUGGUUUUGUUUUUGUUUAUAUUUUUUAUUUAUGCUCUCACCAUUUAAAUUUAAAUAUCAAAGCCAUUAAAUCUUGAAUAUUUUAAAGAGAACAAUAAAAGAAAAAAAGGUAAAGAAUCCAUGAACAGAACAAAACACAGGUCUAAGAAUUAGAAUUUAUUUUCAUAAAGAAUUUCAUAAAUGGUUCCUGCGAUAUUAAAUUUUUUAAAAAAUUUAUAACAGUGCUAAAAUAAAAGAAAAAAUUUCAAAAAGAUAAACAAUCAAUUUAGUUGAAAUGGAAUGAGAAGACAAAUCAAGAAAAAACUUCAGAAGCAAAUUUCGAUGAGAGAAAACUUAAGAGUGGAAAAAUUAAAAAUUGAUGCUAGUUAAUGUUUAAAGUCUGUAUGUUCGGUAAGUGAAAAUGAACUUUAGAAACUUAAGAUGUACUAUAAUAUGUAUGGAUGAAACCCAUGCGGGAUGCCUCUGCAAGUAGAGGGCACGGGGAUAGAUGCAAGAUCCUUCAAAAUAUUAUAUAUAUAUAUAUAUAUACAUGAUAUUAUAUAAUAUAUAAUAUAAAAAAAUGUAAUAAU